Molecule: ribosomal RNA, 2481 nt
Filed under: Triticum aestivum (bread wheat)
Lineage: Eukaryota; Viridiplantae; Streptophyta; Magnoliopsida; Poales; Poaceae
Description: partial small subunit ribosomal RNA
Source: RNAcentral
AUGGCGGCGGACGGGGCGGACAGCGACCUUGAGGAGCAACUCAAGGAUGUCGGCGCCCGCCUGCAGGAGGCGCCCGACGACUCCGACGGCCUGCUCAAGCUCCUCUACGAUGUCGAGAAAUAUCUGUUGAGAGUGGAGCAAUCACCUGCAGCAAGCACAUUUGCUGCUGUUCGCCCAGCAAUGGAUGCCCUGAUCAAGAAUGAACUUCUGACUCACCCUAACGCCGAGGUCAAACUUGCUAUAGCAUCUUGUAUAUCUGAGGUUACAAGGAUCACUGCACCCGAGGCUCCGUAUGAUGACAAUAUUAUGAGGGAUUUGUUUUCCAUAAUUGUGGGGACUUUUCAGAAUUUAGAUGAUAUUGAGAGCCCGUCCUUUGCAAGGAGGAUUUCAAUUCUUGAGACUGUGGCAAAGGUCCGGUCAUGCGUGGUCAUGUUAGACCUUGAGUUGGAUGAUCUGAUUCUGCAGAUGUUUAACCAUUUUUUCACAACUGUGACAUCAAACCAACCAGAAAUUGUCAUAUCAUCUAUGGUAACAACAAUGAAACUUGUAAUAGAUGAGAGUGAAGAAAUACAGACAGCGCUUGCAUCGUAUCUUCUUCAAAAGGCUAGAAAUGAGGAGAGGGAAACGUCUCCAGCAUCUUUUGAACUUGCAGAGAAGGUGAUCAGCUCAUGUGAAGAUGGGAAGCUCAAACCAAUAUUCCUGCAGUUACUUAAAGUUCAAGGCACUCCCUUGGAUGAAUACAGCAAAAUUGUCACGCUGGUUUGUGAAGGUGAUAAGGUUGUCAGGGAAGACAACAAUGUUGAUCCUUCUGGGAAGGACACGGUGGAUGAUGGCAAACUUUCGGAAAGGACUAUUUCUGAUGAACUGCCUCAGGAAUCUUCAAAACUGGAGCAAGAUGGUACUCCAACUACUGCUAUUAGUAGUGGUGCAACUCUGGUUGAUAAUGGUGAGGCUAAUCAAGGACCAGUGUCUCCAAAAGGACCAGCGUCUCCAAAAGGACCAGCGUCUCCAAAGGGAUCAGCGUCACCAAAAGGACCAGCAUCACCAAAAGAGAAGCCUGAACAGCCUGAAGACACAAAAGAUGCUGAUCAGUUGAAAUCUGCUAAUGAUGAAGGUGUAGAACCUGUUGAUGCAAAGCCCAAGAAGCCAUCUGGUCUUGAUUCAGACAAAGACCUGAAGCUCAAACCCUGCAAGUCUGUGGCUACUCCACACUCUAAUGUUGAUGUUGACAAAGAAGCUCAUGUAGUAUCCGGAGAGUUUUCUGCAGACAAGAAGGUAGUCAAUGGAGUGGCUGAUAAUGUACCAAAGCGUGCUGAUACCACACCCGAUGUAGUUAAGCCAAAACGAGGCCGACCUCCUGGACCAAAGUCAUCAGAGAAAAAGGCUGCUAGAAAUAACCAAUCUUCAGAUUUAGAUUUGAAGAAGACUGAGGAGGCUAUGGAUUCAACUGGGAAGUUAACAAAGCGAUCAGCUAAGGAUGAUACCAAAGCUUCCACAAAAAAGACUGGUGAAGGAGAAUCAUCAAAGAAGCAGCAAAAACCCAGUUUGAAACAGCACAAGGAAGAAAUCCUCUCUGAGGAGGACACCACCAAGGAUAUGACUCUAAAGGAAAUGGUCUCUCCAAAGUCUCUGACCAAGGGGUCAGGUAGAACCAAGGGUCAAAGUGGGCAGAAUAAUGUGAUGAAGAGGAAGCGUGAACAAGAUACUGAAGAGACUCCUCGCUCAAGGAAGGACAAAGGUCUGGAUGGAAGUCUAGUUGGUGCAAGGAUCAAAGUAUGGUGGCCAGACGAUGAGAUGUUUUACAAGGGCGUUGUUGACUCAUUUGAUACCCAUUCCAAAAGGCACAAGGUUGCAUAUGAUGAUGGAGAUGUAGAGGUACUGCUGCUUAGGGAUGAAAAAUGGGAUUUCAUCAGUGAGGAAGAAGGCCAAACUCCUGAUGCAUCUGAGAUGCGCUGUGGCAGAAAAGGGAGAGGAAUCACGCUGCUGCCAGUGAAGGAAGAAAAAAUAGAAACACCUAAAAGUGAUGGAGUGGAGCUUCCAAAGAAAAGGGGCCGUCCGAAAGGUUGGCGCCCCAACAAUGGUGGCACACCGUCAACAACUCCAAGCAAAUCAAAGGGGAAAACUGCUGUCAAGGAUGCCAAGGGGACACCUAAAAGUGCCAGCGAGAUUAAGAAAGAAGGCAAGGAGAAAGCCACUGGAUCAGCUAACAAGACGAAGGAUGAUUUAGCUAAAGACAGCAGCAACCAGAAGGUGAAGGAGGUUGGGAGCAAAUCUGGCGAUGGAUCUGUGAAGGGUAGGCCUGUGCGGAAACCAAAAAGCGCUGCCACUACCACUCCAGUGGCGGCUAGCGGAUCUGGAUCUGUUCAAGAGAAGCGGAAGGAGAAGGAGGAGAAAGAAGAGGCCGAGGCAUCUGAAAUGGAGCAGGAGGCAUCCGGCAAGGGGGCGUCUUCAACUGGAAAGAAGCGCAGAAGGAAGGCUUAG